CCCUUCUGAGUGUGGCCCCGCCCUCCCAGCUCGUGAUUGGCCCUAAGCUGCGGGCGCCAGUUUUCAUUGGGUGAGCGGUCGCUGGGGUGGGGCCAGGUGACAGGAAAUUUCUGGUGGGCCUUCGCGGCUCCGCUGGGUUGGCAGCCGCUUGAGCCACUGCGAGGAAAGCAAAGUCUGGGCCAUGGAGAUGAGCCUAGUCCUGCUGUUCCUGAUCCGCACUGCCCUUUUUGCACCCCAGGGAGCUGCUGCUGAGGAUUGCGGCCUGUUGGCAGAAGAGUAGUGUCUUGGGCCCCAGCUGACCUGAUGAAUAUCAACAUCCAAUGCCCUGUAAUGAAGUCAUGUGUGCACAUAUCAUCACUUCUGCAUGCAGUCUCAUGGGAAGGAGGUGUGUGAUGAAGUAUUUAGUGGUCUAGUAUCAUGGGUCUUGCAACUUACUUUAGAAUGACUCAGUCAAAAAUCUUAAUCUGGACCCUUUUCAUAAGAUGGUGCCAAGAACGAAGAAGGAAGCUCCUGCCCCUCCUAAAGCCGAAGCCAAAGCGAAGGCUUUGCAAGGCCAAGAAGGCAGUGUUGAAAGAUGUCCACAGCCACAAAAAAAACAAGAUCCACAUGUCACCCACCUUCCGGCGGCCCAAGACACUGUGACUCCGGAGGCAGCCCAAAUAUCCUUGGAAGAGCACCCCCAGGAGAAAUAAGCUUGACCACCAUGUUAUCAUCAAGUUUCCGCUGACCACUGAGUAGGCUGUGAAGAAGAUAGAAAACAACAGCCUACUUGUGUUCACUGUGGAUGUUAAAGCCAACAAGCACCAGAUCAAACAGGCUGUGAAGAAGUUUGUGACAUUGAUGUGGCCAAAGUCAACACUCUGAUUCAGUCUGAUGGAGAGAGGAAGGCAUAUGUUCGACUGGCUCCUGACUACGAUGCUUUGGUUGUUGCCACCAAAAUUGGGAUCACCUAAACUGAGUCAAGCUGGCUAGUUCCAAAUAUAUGUAUAUCUUUUCACCAUUAAAAGAAUCUUAAUCUCUCUAUUCACUCUUUCUCUUCACACACACACACACA
Molecule: long non-coding RNA, 1054 nt
Filed under: Homo sapiens (human)
Lineage: Eukaryota; Metazoa; Chordata; Mammalia; Primates; Hominidae
Description: PREDICTED lncRNA (TCONS_00229597)
Source: RNAcentral